Molecule: ribosomal RNA, 677 nt
Filed under: Exiguobacterium sp. Kasra
Lineage: Bacteria; Bacillati; Bacillota; Bacilli; Caryophanales
Description: bacterial SSU rRNA
Rfam family: Bacterial small subunit ribosomal RNA
Source: RNAcentral
UCAUUCCGAACUCUUUCGGGGGGACGUUUGACGGAAUGAGCGGCGGACGGGUGAGUAACACGUAAAGAACCUGCCCUCAGGUCUGGGAUAACCACGAGAAAUCGGGGCUAAUACCGGAUGGGUCAUCGGACCGCAUGGUCCGAGGAUGAAAGGCGCUCCGGCGUCGCCUGGGGAUGGCUUUGCGGUGCAUUAGCUAGUUGGUGGGGUAACGGCCCACCAAGGCGACGAUGCAUAGCCGACCUGAGAGGGUGAUCGGCCACACUGGGACUGAGACACGGCCCAGACUCCUACGGGAGGCAGCAGUAGGGAAUCUUCCACAAUGGACGAAAGUCUGAUGGAGCAACGCCGCGUGAACGAUGAAGGCCCUCGGGUCGUAAAGUUCUGUUGUAAGGGAAGAACAAGUGCCGCAGGCAAUGGCGGCACCUUGACGGUACCUUGCGAGAAAGCCACGGCUAACUACGUGCCAGCAGCCGCGGUAAUACGUAGGUGGCAAGCGUUGUCCGGAAUUAUUGGGCGUAAAGCGCGCGCAGGCGGCCUCUUAAGUCUGAUGUGAAAGCCCCCGGCUCAACCGGGGAGGGCCAUUGGAAACUGGGAGGCUUGAGUAUAGGAGAGAAGAGUGGAAUUCCACGUGUAGCGGUGAAAUGCGUAGAGAUGUGGAGGAACACCAGUGGCGAAGG